RNAcentral lists this ribosomal RNA (480 nucleotides) under uncultured bacterium. RNAcentral's name for it is "bacterial SSU rRNA". It matches the Rfam family "Bacterial small subunit ribosomal RNA", at positions 28 to 526 of the family's 1533-position model. The record is from RNAcentral.
GAUGAACGCUGGCGGCGUGCCUAACACAUGCAAGUCGAACGUGAGGAAGUAGCAAUAUUUCUGAAAGUGGCGCACGGGUGAGUAAGACGUAGGUAACCUGCCCUGAAGCGGGGGAUAACAGCUGGAAACGGCUGCUAACACCGCAUAAUGCCGGGUUGUCGGGAGACAAACUGGUGAAAACUCUGGUGCUUCAGGAGGGGCCUGCGGCCGAUUAGCUAGUUGGCGGGGUAAGAGCCCACCAAGGCGACGAUCGGUAGCUGGUCUGAGAGGACGAUCAGCCACACGGGAACUGAGACACGGUCCCGACUCCUACGGGGGGCAGCAGUGAGGAAUAUUGGGCAAUGGGCGCAAGCCUGACCCAGCAACGCCGCGUGGAGGAAGACGGCCUUCGGGUUGUAAACUCCUUUUACGGGGGAAGAGGAAGGACGGUACCCCGAGAAUAAGUCACGGCUAACUACGUGCCAGCCGCCGCAGUAACAC